AUUGAACGCUGGCGGCAUGCUUUACACAUGCAAGUCGAACGGCAGCACGGGGGCAACCCUGGUGGCGAGUGGCGAACGGGUGAGUAAUGCAUCGGAACGUGCCAUUGAGUGGGGGAUAACGUAGCGAAAGUUGCGCUAAUACCGCAUAUUCUGUGAGCAGGAAAGCAGGGGACCGCAAGGCCUUGCGCUCUUUGAGCGGCCGAUGUCAGAUUAGCUAGUUGGUGAGGUAACGGCUUACCAAGGCGACGAUCUGUAGCGGGUCUGAGAGGAUGAUCCGCCACACUGGAACUGAGACACGGUCCAGACUCCUACGGGAGGCAGCAGUGGGGAAUUUUGGACAAUGGGGGGCAACCCUGAUCCAGCCAUGCCGCGUGAGUGAAGAAGGCCU
Molecule: ribosomal RNA, 388 nt
Filed under: uncultured bacterium
Lineage: Bacteria
Description: bacterial SSU rRNA
Rfam family: Bacterial small subunit ribosomal RNA
Source: RNAcentral